GUUGAGACAGAAUACCCUUGUGCAUAUAUUUCUCAAAAAUGAUUUCAUUUGUUUUAGGUACAUUUACUAUUUUUCUCACUGGUAUCAGAGUUGUUUUAUGUCAAGUUGAAGCACCUUAUGAUUUCGGAACGAAAACGCAAGGAGAGAGAGGAGAUGAGCUUUCUCCUGCUGAAAUAGCUGGUGUCAGUUUUGCCGCAAUGGCUAUUGUUGCAGCAUUAGUGAUAACAAUUUUAUUCUGUUACUACGUGUAUAAGAAACAAGAGGAACAAGAAUAUGCGUCAAAAUCAUUUUUGGCAGCCAAGUCUCGUUAUUGAGCGGUGAUCUCAUCUUCACUGCAAGACGUCUUCAUUUUGCUCACCAGAUUCCAUGAAAAUAAGCAAACUGGAUUUCAUUUCAAAGACUAUGCUCAAGUUCUAUUUCUCACUUUGCAAAUCUGAAUAGUGACCACAUUUUUUAUACAAUUGCAUAAAAACAAAGUCUCUCUGAAAAUAAAAUUGGCACUUAAACCGAAAGCUCAACAAACGCAUUAAAGGUAAUGAUCUGCAAUAUUUCAUUGACGAAACCAACGAAAAAUUGUCACGAAAUAACUUUCAGUCUACGCUAUAAAUAUUACAACGGUUUACUUUCAUAAAUAAGUGUACAGGGUGAUUCAAAAAAGAUGGGCAUAACUUUUAGAGGUUAAAGUAAUCAUCAAAGAAUGCAGGGUUGGAAAUAACGCGCAAAGGCGUUGGUGCCGUUGGAAACGUGGUCCAUCCAAACGCCUUGUUCCUUGGCUUGCUUGCUCACCAGGUUUUUCAUGCCUCGAUUUCUUUUUGUGGGGACGACUGAAGCCUCUUAUAUCGUGACAUGACUUUUUUCUUGUUGCUAUAAUUAUUUAUUUUUCUGUUUCAUUAGCACCUUAUUUAAUUUGAGUUUGUAUGUUGAUAGGACAAACUCAAAAUAAAGUAAUGUGCUAAUGAAACAGUAAAUUAAGUAGUUAUGGCAAAAAAGUGUCAGGUUAUGGACUCAUUUAUCCAAAGUAUACUGUAAAAUGACCCUUUAACAAAGGAGAUGUAUGAUUUUUGGACUCAUCGAUUCAAUUUUAAAUUACUUUUUUGUUAUUUUUAUGUUACACUAUGUUGUCAUAAUUAAAGUCACUUGUAACCUCCAUGUUCAGUAAAAUUAUAAAACUUUUUUUUCAGAAAAAAUAUUGUUCCUUAGUCUUUCUUUGAAAUUGAAAACAUAUUAGUUUCGUUAAUAACAUCCCAAAAGUAAAGUCUAAAUUUUGUUAUUAACUUUUUUCUUCUUUUUUAUCUCAGCAUGAAACUUUACUUAAUUUCAUGAUGUCCUAAAAAUAUUAUAUUGCUUCAAAGAGUGUCAGUAAAAUCAAGUGUAUAUCCAUCGAUAGAUCGUAGUGCAAACAACGCAGAGUUUCAAGUAGUUUGCGUUUUAUCACAAAUUAAAAAACAGUUAUAAAUGUUUAAAACGUAGCUCACUUGUUAGAGAACCUAAGUUUGAAAACAUUGUUACUACGAAACAAAUAUUAUCCGAAAUACAUUCACUUUGGUAGCGUUCAAUAUUAUCUAUUGAUCUGAAGUCAGCACCGUAACGUAUUCAAUGGAGUACAAGUUUGCAUAGACUUACUUAAUUUAUAUUUUCUGACAUUCAAAUGAAUAAGAGUCUCCAAUCGGUUGAAACAGAGCGUUAGGCUGCUCUGCUGACAGUUAAUUAAUCACACGCAUCCACGAAACAUAUAUAAUCAAUUCUCAACAAAUUUCGCCUCGCUCAGGAAGGCAAGAGCAGACACUGUAACUAUUAGUCAAUCAGCGGUUAAGAAAUGAAAAGGAUUCCAGAAACCAUUUCUUAAGUAAUCUUAAACGUAAAGACGUUUCAUUACAUUUAUUCUGAGAAAAUUCUCUGCAUGAACUGAGAGUGAGAUUUUAAGUAAAUCUCCUUAGCUUAUUAAACUUUGCUUAAAAUUUUACCGAAAACUGUAAGUGAAACGCAAGCAGAUGCACAGAUAUGAUUUCUCUACGUGAAAAUAAACUAAACCUGUCGCAUUCUCAGUUAGUUUGAACCAAGAAAAAGAUUUAGGACUCCCAUCAGAGUGACUUAUAGAUUCUCUCGGGACAUAAUCUUCAAUGUUAGGCGGCAUUUUUCACGCAGUAAAUCGUUUUAAUCUCAGACGAUGCCUAGUUUCGUAGCUAAGAGCUAUUUUUCCUUUGCCAUAAUAACAUUCCCUAAAGGUUUCCCUUAAUUUGCGACGCUUUCAGACAAGAAUGUUGGCGUAGAAAAGGGGAGCCAGCUCAUUCCAUAUACUUAGCGGAGAAGAAUGCGUCUCAAUUUGGAGAUGCGAAAAAGUAUGCACGCUUACUUGAAAGGAAAAGAUUUCAACCUAAUUGCUUGUAUUUUCCAUCUGUAGUUUGUUAUGCCUCUGUUUAACAGAAUCCAAUAUUUUGGAAUUUCAAUCGUGCUUGAGAAAAUUUGAAAUAAAUGAAAAUUUGAAACUUCUUAACCUAGUUAGUUCUGUGAUACUGAAUUUCAUUCCUGAUGCUGCUUCUUAUCCAUUAAAUAUCAUGCAUGAAAUUAAUAAGAAAAAUAUUUUUUAUUGCCUAUGCAUUGUAUUGUCAUUGGUUUUAUGAUUUAUAUGACUAAGUCAUUCCAAUAUUACCAAUAAUCAGGAUUUUUCAUAUUAUACUACUUCCUGAAUUAUGCUACAUAGAAUGUAACACGGGUUCGUCAAAAGCAUGAAAUUGUUUUAUAUCCCAUGUAGGAGAAAUUCAAAGAUGUUUAAGCAAUCUCUUACUCUGCCUAUAUAAAUUAUCUUAAAACUAAAAAUGUCUAAAAAAUAACUAGAACUAGAUCAGACUUUUAGUGUCAAAACGAACUUAGUCAAUGAGUUCUCAUCAUACAUGACAUCGAUGGAGCUGAACCAUAGGUAUUUUGAUUUCUAGUUUGUGUUUCAGCUUCGUCAUUAGCAAUUAUGGGAAAUAUAACCGUAAAUGUUCUUCCUUUUCAGAAUCCAUCGUCUGAAAAGUGUCUGCUAUAAAAUUACAUAACAUUAAUGUAAAAUAAUUAUAAUGUAAAAUACAAAUCGACUCAUAAGUUUUUAACUUUUCAAAAUUUGCUCUUUCUUUUC
Molecule: long non-coding RNA, 3118 nt
Organism: Uloborus diversus
Lineage: Eukaryota; Metazoa; Arthropoda; Arachnida; Araneae; Uloboridae
Exons: 3
Source: RefSeq, a predicted model, not a curated record